GUGGGGAAUCUUAGACAAUGGGCGCAAGCCUGAUCUAGCCAUGCCGCGUGAGCGAUGAAGGCCUUAGGGUUGUAAAGCUCUUUCGUGGGGGAAGAUAAUGACUGUACCCCAAGAAGAAGCCCCGGCUAACUCCGUGCCAGCAGCCGCGGUAAUACGGAGGGGGCUAGCGUUGUUCGGAAUUACUGGGCGUAAAGCGCACGUAGGCGGACUGGAAAGUCAGGGGUGAAAUCCCGGGGCUCAACCCCGGAACUGCCUUUGAAACUCCCAGUCUUGAGUUCGAGAGAGGUGAGUGGAAUUCCGAGUGUAGAGGUGAAAUUCGUAGAUAUUCGGAGGAACACCAGUGGCGAAGGCGGCUCACUGGCUCGAUACUGACGCUGAGGUGCGAAAGCGUGGGGAGCAAACAGGAUUAGAAACCCGGUUAGUCC
This 425-nucleotide ribosomal RNA is filed under the name uncultured bacterium. Its description in RNAcentral is "partial 16S ribosomal RNA". It matches the Rfam family "Bacterial small subunit ribosomal RNA", at positions 354 to 796 of the family's 1533-position model. The record is from RNAcentral.